GACGAACGCUGGCGGCGCGCCUAACACAUGCAAGUCGAACGGAGCUUAGAGAGCUUGCUUUUUAAGCUUAGUGGCGAACGGGUGAGUAACGCGUGAGUAACCUGCCCUGGAGUGGGGGACAACAGUUGGAAACGACUGCUAAUACCGCAUAAGCCCACGGUACCGCAUGGUACUGAGGGAAAAGGAUUUAUUCGCUUUAGGAUGGACUCGCGUCCAAUUAGCUAGUUGGUGAGGUAACGGCCCACCAAGGCGACGAUUGGUAGCGGGACUGAGAGGUUGAACGGCCACAUUGGGACUGAGGCACGGCCCAGACUCCGACGGGGGGCAGCAGUGGGGGAUAUUGCACAAUGGGGGAAACCCUGAUGCAGCGACGCCGCGUGGAGGAAGAAGGUUUUCGGAUUGUAAACUCCUGUCGUUAGGGACGAUAAUGACGGUACCUAACAAGAAAGCACCGGCUAACUACGUGCCAGCAGCCGCGGUAA
This 482-nucleotide ribosomal RNA is filed under the name uncultured bacterium. Its description in RNAcentral is "partial 16S ribosomal RNA". It matches the Rfam family "Bacterial small subunit ribosomal RNA", at positions 28 to 523 of the family's 1533-position model. The record is from RNAcentral.